UACAGAGGUCCCAAGCGUUGUUCGGAUUCAUUGGGCGUAAAGGGCUCGUAGGUGGCUUUGUAAGUCGGAGGUGAAAGACCACGGCUCAACCGUGGAAACGCCUUCGAAACUGUGAAGCUUGAGGCUGGGAGAGGAAAUCGGAAUUCCUGGUGUAGCGGUGAAAUGCGUAGAUAUCAGGAGGAACACCGGUGGCGAAGGCGGAUUUCUGGACCAGUUCUGACACUGAUGAGCGAAAGCCAGGGGAGCAAACAGG
This 253-nucleotide ribosomal RNA is filed under the name uncultured bacterium. Its description in RNAcentral is "partial 16S ribosomal RNA". It matches the Rfam family "Bacterial small subunit ribosomal RNA", at positions 524 to 776 of the family's 1533-position model. The record is from RNAcentral.